Molecule: transfer RNA, 48 nt
Filed under: Dolomedes angustivirgatus
Lineage: Eukaryota; Metazoa; Arthropoda; Arachnida; Araneae; Dolomedidae
Description: tRNA-His
Source: RNAcentral
AAAUCUAGUUUAAAUAAAACAAUAAUUUGUGGAAUUAUAAAUUCACAA